GGCCAAUUAGAGCCUCCGAAGGGAACCUGUCCCGGCCUCCUCUCUGAGGGACGGCUCUACCUACCAAUAGCAUGAUCGAGAAGGCGUUCCCUUCGCGAAGGAGGCGGGUGAGCUAGAACUUUGAGACUGAGGUAAAGCGGACCUGCCCUUCCUGUGGCCCAGAGCCUGGGGGUGAAGAAAAGAAGGGAAGAGGGAACCCUAUUUCUGUUCAGUUGUUCCCCCCAGAGCUGACACGAAGGGCCUGUAUUUCCAGGCAUUCGGAGGCCGCCGCCGAUGUCUCAGCAAGAGUGUGGCACCCCUGCUAGCCCAUGGCUACCGCCGCUUCUUGCCCAC
RNAcentral lists this long non-coding RNA (333 nucleotides) under Castor canadensis (American beaver). Its description in RNAcentral is "lncRNA (ENSCCNG00000014916.1)". Lineage: Eukaryota; Metazoa; Chordata; Mammalia; Rodentia; Castoridae. The record is from RNAcentral.